GAUGAAGAACGUAGCGAAAUGCGAUACGUAAUGUGAAUUGCAGAAUUCAGUGAAUCAUCGAAUCUUUGAACGCAUAUUGCGCUCUCUGGUAUUCCGGAGAGCAUGCUUGUUUGAGUAUCAGUAAACACCUCAACUCCCUUUUCUUUUUUGAAAUUGGAGCUGGACUUGAGUGAUCCCAACGCUUUCUUCCAAGAAAGUGGCGGGUUGCUUGAAAUGCAGGUGCAGCUGAACUUUUCUCUGAGCUAUAAGCAUAUCUAUUUAGUCUGCCUAAAAAACAGAUUAUUACCUUUGCUGCAGCUAACAUAAAGGAGACUAGGUCUUGUGCUGACUGAUGCAGGAUUCACAGAGACAGCUUCGGCUGACUUUGUAAACUCGAUCUCAAAUCAAGUAAGACUACCCGCUGAACUUAAGCAUAUCAAUAAGCGGAGGA
RNAcentral lists this unclassified non-coding RNA (430 nucleotides) under soil metagenome. RNAcentral's name for it is "partial contains 5.8S ribosomal RNA, internal transcribed spacer 2, and large subunit ribosomal RNA". The stretch from base 1 to 120 matches the Rfam family "5.8S ribosomal RNA", at positions 35 to 154 of the family's 154-position model. The record is from RNAcentral.